This 239-nucleotide ribosomal RNA is filed under the name uncultured bacterium. RNAcentral describes it as "partial 16S ribosomal RNA". It matches the Rfam family "Bacterial small subunit ribosomal RNA", at positions 103 to 334 of the family's 1533-position model. The record is from RNAcentral.
CGGGUGAGUAAUACAUAAGUAACCUGCCCUAGACAGGGGGAGUAACUAUUGGAAACGAUAGCUAAGACCGCAUAGGUACGGACACUGCAUGGUGACCGUAUUAAAAGUGCCUCAAAGCACUGGUAGAGGAUGGACUUAUGGCGCAUUAGCUGGUUGGCGGGGUAACGGCCCGCCAAGGCGACGAUGCGUAGCCGACCUGAGAGGGUGACCGGCCACAUUGGGACUGAGACACGGCCCAA